Molecule: ribosomal RNA, 450 nt
Filed under: uncultured bacterium
Lineage: Bacteria
Description: partial 16S ribosomal RNA
Rfam family: Bacterial small subunit ribosomal RNA
Source: RNAcentral
GUGGGGAAUAUUGGACAAUGGGCGAAAGCCUGAUCCAGCCAUGCCGCGUGUGUGAAGAAGGUCUUCGGAUUGUAAAGCACUUUAAGUUGGGAGGAAGGGUAGUAACCUAAUACGUUGCUACUUUGACGUUACCGACAGAAUAAGCACCGGCUAACUUCGUGCCAGCAGCCGCGGUAAUACGAAGGGUGCAAGCGUUAAUCGGAAUUACUGGGCGUAAAGCGCGCGUAGGUGGUUCAGUAAGUUGGAAGUGGAAGCCCCGGGCUCAACCUGUGAACUGCUUUCAAAACUGCUGAGCUAGAGUACGGUAGAGGGUGGUGGAAUUUCCUGUGUAGCAGUGAAAUGCGUAGAUAUAGGAAGGAACACCAGUGGCGAAGGCGACCACCUGGACUGAUACUGACACUGAGGUGCGAAAGCGUGGGGAGCAAACAGGAUUAGAUACCCGUGUAGUCC